UACAGAGGUCUCAAGCGUUGUUCGGAUUCAUUGGGCGUAAAGGGUGCGUAGGCGGCGCGGUAAGUCGGGUGUGAAAUCUCGGAGCUUAACUCCGAAACUGCAUUCGAUACUGCCGUGCUUGAGGACUGGAGAGGAGACUGGAAUUUACGGUGUAGCGGUGAAAUGCGUAGAUAUCGUAAGGAAGACCAGUGGCGAAGGCGGGUCUCUGGACAGUACCUGACGCUGAAGCACGAAGGUCAGGGGAGCAAACGGG
RNAcentral lists this ribosomal RNA (253 nucleotides) under uncultured bacterium. Its description in RNAcentral is "partial 16S ribosomal RNA". It matches the Rfam family "Bacterial small subunit ribosomal RNA", at positions 524 to 776 of the family's 1533-position model. The record is from RNAcentral.